UACGAAGGGAGCUAGCGUUGUUCGGAAUCACUGGGCGUAAAGCGCACGUAGGCGGAUGUGUCAGUCAGGGGUGAAAUCCCGGAGCUCAACUUCGGAACUGCCCUUGAUACAGCACGUCUUGAGUCCGGAAGAGGUGGGUGGAAUUCCUAGUGUAGAGGUGAAAUUCGUAGAUAUUAGGAAGAACACCGGCGGCGAAGGCGGCCCACUGGUCCGGUACUGACGCUGAGGUGCGAAAGCGUGGGGAGCAAACAGG
Molecule: ribosomal RNA, 253 nt
Filed under: uncultured bacterium
Lineage: Bacteria
Description: partial 16S ribosomal RNA
Rfam family: Bacterial small subunit ribosomal RNA
Source: RNAcentral